RNAcentral lists this ribosomal RNA (510 nucleotides) under uncultured bacterium. Its description in RNAcentral is "bacterial SSU rRNA". It matches the Rfam family "Bacterial small subunit ribosomal RNA", at positions 44 to 596 of the family's 1533-position model. The record is from RNAcentral.
CUGCUUAAACAUGCAAAGUCGAACGCAAGUAGCAAUACUUGAGUGGCGGACGGGUGAGUAACGCGCCCUUUUCUACCUUUAGGACUGGGACAACAGCUGGAAACGGCUGCUUUUACCGGAUGUGCCGCAACGUGAAAGAUUUAUCGCCUAAAGAAGAGCUCGCGUCUGAUUAGCUAGUUGGUGGGGUAAAAGCCUACCAAGGCAGCGAUCAGUAGCUGGUCUGAGAGGAUGAUCAGCCACACUGGGACUGAGACACGGCCCAGACUCCUACGGGAGGCAGCAGUGGGGAAUUUUCCGCAAUGGGCGAAAGCCUGACGGAGCAAGACCGCGUGAGGGAGGAAGGCUCUUGGGUCGUAAACCUCUUUUGUCAGGGAAGAACACAAUGACGGUACCUGACGAAUCAGCCUCGGCUAACUCCGUGCCAGCAGCCGCGGUAAUACGGAGGAGGCAAGCGUUAUCCGGAAUUAUUGGGCGUAAAGCGUCCGUAGGUGGCUUAUCAAGUCUGCGGUC